Molecule: ribosomal RNA, 1280 nt
Filed under: Staphylococcus aureus
Lineage: Bacteria; Bacillati; Bacillota; Bacilli; Caryophanales; Staphylococcaceae
Description: bacterial SSU rRNA
Rfam family: Bacterial small subunit ribosomal RNA
Source: RNAcentral
UACCUAUAAGACUGGGAUAACUUCGGGAAACCGGAGCUAAUACCGGAUAAUAUUUUGAACCGCAUGGUUCAAAAGUGAAAGACGGUCUUGCUGUCACUUAUAGAUGGAUCCGCGCUGCAUUAGCUAGUUGGUAAGGUAACGGCUUACCAAGUCAACGAUGCAUAGCCGACCUGAGAGGGUGAUCGGCCACACUGAAACUGAGACACGGUCCAGACUCCUACGGGAGGCAGCAGUAGGGAAUCUUCCGCAAUGGGCGAAAGCCUGACGGAGCAACGCCGCGUGAGUGAUGAAGGUCUUCGGAUCGUAAAACUCUGUUAUUAGGGAAGAACAUAUGUGUAAGUAACUGUGCACAUCUUGACGGUACCUAAUCAGAAAGCCACGGCUAUCUACGUGCCAGCAGCCGCGGUAAUACGUAGGUGGCAAGCGUUAUCCGGAAUUAUUGGGCGUAAAGCGCGCGUAGGCGGUUUUUUAAGUCUGAUGUGAAAGCCCACGGCUCAACCGUGGAGGGUCAUUGGAAACUGGAAAACUUGAGUGCAGAAGAGGAAAGUGGAAUUACAUGUGUAGCGGUGAAAUGCGCAGAGAUAUGGAGGAACACCAGUGGCGAAGGCGACUUUCUGGUCUGUAACUGACGCUGAUGUGCGAAAGCGUGGGGAUCAAACAGGAUUAGAUACCCUGGUAGUCCACGCCGUAAACGAUGAGUGCUAAGUGUUAGGGGGUUUCCGCCCCUUAGUGCUGCAGCUAACGCAUUAAGCACUCCGCCUGGGGAGUACGACCGCAAGGUUGAACCUCAAAGGAAUUGACGGGGACCCGCACAAGCGGUGGAGCAUGUGGUUUAAUUCGAAGCAACGCGAAGAACCUUACCAAAUCUUGACAUCCUUUGACAACUCUAGAGAUAGAGCCUUCCCCUUCGGGGGACAAAGUGACAGGUGGUGCAUGGUUGUCGUCAGCUCGUGUCGUGAGAUGUUGGGUUAAGUCCCGCAACGAGCGCAACCCUUAAGCUUAGUUGCCAUCAUUAAGUUGGGCACUCUAAGUUGACUGCCGGUGACAAACCGGAGGAAGGUGGGGAUGACGUCAAAUCAUCAUGCCCCUUAUGAUUUGGGCUACACACGUGCUACAAUGGACAAUACAAAGGGCAGCGAAACCGCGAGGUCAAGCAAAUCCCAUAAAGUUUCUCUCAGUUCGGAUUGUAGUCUGCAACUCGACUACAUGAAGCUGGAAUCGCUAGUAAUCGUAGAUCAGCAUGCUACGGUGAAUACGUUCCCGGGUCUUGUACACACCGC